This 301-nucleotide ribosomal RNA is filed under the name uncultured bacterium. Its description in RNAcentral is "partial 16S ribosomal RNA". It matches the Rfam family "Bacterial small subunit ribosomal RNA", at positions 509 to 808 of the family's 1533-position model. The record is from RNAcentral.
CAGCAGCGCGGGAAUACAGAGGGUGCGAGCGUUAAUCGGAUUUACUGGGCGUAAAGCGUGCGUAGGCGGCUUUUUAAGUCGGAUGUGAAAUCCCUGAGCUUAACUUAGGAAUUGCAUUCGAUACUGGGAAGCUAGAGUAUGGGAGAGGAUGGUAGAAUUCCAGGUGUAGCGGUGAAAUGCGUAGAGAUCUGGAGGAAUACCGAUGGCGAAGGCAGCCAUCUGGCCUAAUACUGACGCUGAGGUACGAAAGCAUGGGGAGCAAACAGGAUUAGAUACCCCGGUAGUCCCUGUCUCUUAUACA